This is a non-coding RNA of Paramuricea clavata, 592 nucleotides long. Lineage: Eukaryota; Metazoa; Cnidaria; Anthozoa; Malacalcyonacea; Plexauridae. The record is from the annotation of a GenBank genome assembly.
GGGGUGGUUAACCCCCCCAACUUUUGUAGAAUUAACAUAUUCGGAAAAUCGGGUUGGCCAUUCGGAAAAUUACGGCAAUUAUAGUAUAACAAAAUUUUAGUUGUUUUAUUAAACAGAGAAAAUAUUAUAAAAUGGUAUUGUCAGUAUAAACCAUUGGUAUAAACUGAUUUACGAAAUCACGGCAUUUACAUGGAUAACGUAAAAAAUCGUAAAUCGGUAAAUGUUUUUCGGUUUAUUGCUUCUCAGGGCCGUAGCAGGAGGGGGGAGGGGGGGGACUGGGGGCAGCAGCCCUUGCAAUAAUUUGCUGAUAAUCAUUCGUUUUUCAAAAUCAUGCACACCUUUAUCAUUUAGAUAAUAUACCUUUAAAAUACUGACAAUAAACUAGAGGUGUGCAUCGGAUCGGAUUGGACGUUUAUAAUCUGACAAUUGCCGGAUGUUUAAAAUCCGAUCCGAAAUUUCUAAUCCCAAUUCGUCCCGAUCCGAGUUUUGAAAAAGAAUUCCAAUCCGAUCCAAUCCGAAGAAUUCUUUAAUAAAAUAAAUUUCUCAUUCAAGUUGAAAGAUUUAACCAAAUAAAUAUAAAAGCAAGAAAUAC